RNAcentral lists this transfer RNA (68 nucleotides) under Angaria delphinus. RNAcentral's name for it is "tRNA-Tyr". Lineage: Eukaryota; Metazoa; Mollusca; Gastropoda; Trochida; Turbinidae. The record is from RNAcentral.
UGCAGAAUGGCUGAGGAAAGAAGCGAAAGACUGUAGAUCUUUUCACGGAGCUAAUUCUCCUUCUGCAA